Transfer RNA from Cavia porcellus (domestic guinea pig), 63 nucleotides. It matches the Rfam family "tRNA". Rfam says of the family: Transfer RNA (tRNA) molecules are approximately 80 nucleotides in length. Their secondary structure includes four short double-helical elements and three loops (D, anti-codon, and T loops). The record is from Rfam. NCBI's taxonomy places the organism in Eukaryota, Metazoa, Chordata, Mammalia, Rodentia, Caviidae.
AGGGAUUUAGCUUGGAGCAUAAGCACCUGCCUUGCAAGCAGGCAGUGGUGAGUUCAAUCCCUG